This 825-nucleotide long non-coding RNA is filed under the name Olea europaea (common olive). RNAcentral's name for it is "long non-coding RNA (OEUR_LNC009437)". The record is from RNAcentral. Lineage: Eukaryota; Viridiplantae; Streptophyta; Magnoliopsida; Lamiales; Oleaceae.
GUGUUGCUGAUCAUUGAUAAGAAAUCUAAGGAAAAAUAUAGCUACAUAUCAACACAACUUGGAAGUCGUUUUGGAUGGAAGAGUUUGGUGUGCUGUAUUGGCUUGAGAAAUUAUAAUUUGUUCAUUUUAUCUUCUUUCUUUUUUCCUGGAGAAAAUCAGUUAGGCGUAGGUGAGAGUUGUUUAUAGGCCUCCUUUCCUAACUCCAAGUAGGAAAUUGGCGUUGUCUCGUGCCUCGUACAUAUAUUGAAAUAUUCGGUACGACAAAGUGGGACGUGGUAGCCUUACCUCCAAGAUUUUAUGAGGGGAAUUUAGGGGUGGUGAUUGUAUGCUUUCUAUUCAGGAAUUUCAAUUGAAAAGAAUAUAAAUAAUGCAAAAAAUUAUCUAAAAUUGUACAAUUAGCCUACUAUUGUAAUCUCUUUAUUCUGACAAUUGGUAGUCCACCUCUCCCCAGCUUUAGAAUUCCAGUGAUAUGCCCAGUUAAUUGAACUAUUUUUUGAUUCUAUCUUGGAGACCUUUGUUGGCAAACCAAUCUUGCUGCAUAGUUUCAUUGCCUUCAUAUGUGUGUGAAUGUUAUGCUUAACACUUUGUCAUUCAUAUUAUCCUAUAUAUUUGCUUAAUUUAGCAGUAUUUUGGAGCUUUGAUUGGUUUUAUACUUGAGAAAUGACCAAAAGAAUUUAUGGUAACUUGACUUUUGUCAUUCAUAUUAUCCUAUAUAUUUGCUUAAUUUAGCAGUAUUUUGGAGCUUUGAUUGGUUUUGUACUUGAGAAAUGAGCAAAAGAAUUUAUGGUAACUUCUCAAAAGAGAAUAGUGCACAUUGAUGUAUUA